UGGGGAAUAUUGCACAAUGGGGGAAACCCUGAUGCAGCGACGCCGCGUGAGCGAAGAAGGUUUUCGAAUCGUAAAGCUCUGUCCUAUGAGAAGAUAAUGACGGUAUCAUAGGAGGAAGCCCCGGCUAAAUACGUGCCAGCAGCCGCGGUAAUACGUAUGGGCGAGCGUUGUCCGGAAUUAUUGGGCGUAAAGGGUACGUAGGCGGUCUAUUAAGUCAGGUGUGAAAGCGUGAGGCUUAACCUCAUUAAGCACUUGAAACUGAUAGACUUGAGUGAAGGAGAGGAAAGUGGAAUUCCUAGUGUAGCGGUGAAAUGCGUAGAUAUUAGGAGGAAUACCGGUGGCGAAGGCGACUUUCUGGACUUUUACUGACGCUCAGGUACGAAAGCGUGGGGAGCAAACAGG
This 402-nucleotide ribosomal RNA is filed under the name Verrucomicrobiota bacterium. Its description in RNAcentral is "Verrucomicrobia bacterium partial 16S ribosomal RNA". It matches the Rfam family "Bacterial small subunit ribosomal RNA", at positions 355 to 776 of the family's 1533-position model. Lineage: Bacteria; Pseudomonadati; Verrucomicrobiota. The record is from RNAcentral.